This 5985-nucleotide long non-coding RNA is filed under the name Heterocephalus glaber (naked mole-rat). Its description in RNAcentral is "lncRNA (ENSHGLG00000038011.1)". Lineage: Eukaryota; Metazoa; Chordata; Mammalia; Rodentia; Bathyergidae. The record is from RNAcentral.
CUUUGUUAUUUUUAGACAACAAUAGGAGAUGGAUGAAGCAACAGUUUUACAUGAGAGAUCUGUCACUAUUGAGCAAAACCAGAAGCCACUGAGAAGCCCAAGCUCUGACAUCAAGUGCUAGAGAUCAAACCAGGGUCUUGUGCAUAUCAGGUAAGCAUUUUACCAAUGAGCUAUAUCUCUAGCCCCUAAAUUUUCUUUAUAAGAACCUUUUGGAGCUGAUCACUCUGGUUUAUGCCUGGAGUCUUAGCCAAUCAGGAGCCUGAGGUAGGAGAAUAAUAAGUUCAUGGCCAUUCUGGGAAACUUAGUGAGACCCUGUUUCAAAAUAAAAAAUAAAACGGCCAGGGAUUUAGCUCAGUUCUGCCACCUGCCUCAAAAGCUUAAGUUCCUGAGUUUGAUCCCUGGUACCAAAAAAAUAAAAAAUAAAAAGGGCUGGAGAUAUAACUCAUUGGUAGAGCACUCACCUAGCAUGUUCAAGGCUCUGGCUGGGAUAAUCCCUAGUACCACAGAAGAAAUUUUUUGGUAGAUAUCUUCAUUGUAAUGUAUGAAAUCUAAGUAGGUGUUAUAUGAAAUGUUACAGGUUUUUGGAUUGAAAAAUCUCCUAAAGAUAUAAAACCUCCAGUUUUGAUGGCUUAUUUCUGCCUAAAUCUUCAUUCAGUUUCAGAUAAAUUUUCUAGUCAUCAAAGAGUGGAUAUGUAUUUCUGAUUAAUUGUCAGAGAAUUUCUUGUUUGAAAAAUUAACUUCUAAGUAUAUUACUGAGCCACUGUGUGACCUUAAACAUGUUAAAGAGUUUUGGGAUAUCUUCCUUUCAUAUUGUAAAAUGCAGAUUAAAUACAUUUCGUGGAUCUUUCAAAAAUACCAUGGGGAUUAAUGAGAUAAUGCCAGCAGGCAUAUUAAUGCCAUCCAUUUUUUUUGCAUAUAGAUUUCUGCUCAUUUUAAUACUAAAAUAGGUCAUGUAUUAAAAAAUGAGUAUACAGGAUUAAGAUUAUAGUGAACUGUAUUAGAAUGAACAGAUGACAAGUAGGAUUAUUAAGCUUCAACAUACGCCUUCCCUUUUACUUUAACUCCAUGAUAUGUUCAUAAUUUAAAAGAGACUCUUUCAUAGUCCUAGGGAUCUUAAUCCAUAUGCCAGGCUGUCUGCUUAACUUAAAAACCAUUGAAAUGGACUAAAAUCCUGUGAUGUUGCUAAUAAUUUGCUUUACUGAGUAAUUAUCCCUCAGCAAGCAAUAAACCCACAGCUCAGAAACUGGUAAUGUUGUCAUCUUAUCUGUGGAACAACUUAAUCCUUGCUGGAGAAAAUCCCUUGAGCCAAAAUUCAUGGUCUAAAAGUGGGAGAAGAGCUAUGCAUCAUCGUUGGCCCAUUGAUGAUGCUGUUGCCCCAACGUUGUGCAGGGAGUUUGCCUGCUAUCAAUUUUAUCAUUGGCUGAUAUCAUAAGUCAGGCCUGGUGAUCAGACAAGGUCACCCUGAAAUUCCAUUUGGUGAGUGAGGCAUUACGUGGCUGCAGUUCUCUUCCAGAUUGAUGGCAUUUCCCAGCAUCUGUAGGUUUUAAAGAUAUGAAAAUCAGCUUAGAAAAGACAGGGCAGCUGUCUCUGUAUGAAUGGAUUCAAAUGAUAGGAAUUAGAGAUUGAGUAGGUAGAAAGGGACUAGAGGAUGAAAAAAGAGGGAACUAAAAAAGCAGGAAAUAAAACACAAGGAAAAAGAAUAUAUAUACCAGGUAGGGGAAAGGAGAUGUCAGAAUUGCAUGUAGGUGUAGGGAUAAAAAGAAAAGAAAAGAAGCACAGAUAGAAAUAAACCAGAAAGUUAUUUAUUUUUACAUCCAAUAAGAUGAUGGUUUUAGGGGAUAAGUCCUCCACAAGGUUCCCAGUAUCAAGUAUACUUGUGUUUGUUUUCUUAAGAACUUUCCUUUCAUCUUCAACAUGUUUAUGUAUUUCUUUCUCACUCUGUCCUUUCAACAAAUGAAGCUCUAUUUCACAUGGGUAAAAGAAGUAUGUUUAUUGUGAAACAAACGAAAAAACUUUAAGCUUUUUAAUUCAAUGUAAUCCCAUCUGUACAUUUUUCCUUUCAUUGCCUGUGAUUUCUGGGUUAUGUCCAAGAAAUCAUUGCUGAGACCAAUGUCAUGGUUGUCUUCCAGUAAUUUUAUAGCUUCAGGUCUUACAUGUUUGCCUUUAAUUCAUUUUGAGUUGAUAUUUUCAUAUGGUAUAGUAUAAGUGUCCAAUUUUAUUCUUCGUAUCUAUGUAGAUAUCCAAUUUUUUCAGCAUCAUCUAUUGAUGAAACUGUCCUCUUCCCAUUGUAUGUUCCUGGCACCUUUAUUGAAAAAUAGUUGACCAUAAAUUCUUAUGUUGAUUUUUGGACUCUGUCCUGUUCCAUUGGUCAAUGUAUCUAUUUUUUAUGCGAGUUUUCACUAGUAUAGGCUACAUCUAAGUUUCUGGGAGGGUCCCCAACAAUGUGAUUACUUCAUUACAUAUUUUUGUAAAAUUUAAAAAAGAAAUCACAAUUUUAACAUCUCUGAUCCUCUUCAAAAUUUUUAAAUUAUAAUUUCAUUUCUCAUUAUUAAAACUUUCAUAUUUAAAUUUAGAUUAGUGAAAAAUAUUGUGUAUUUUUCUUAAGGAGAGUCUCUAAGUCAUAUUUAAUUUUAAUUUCCAUGAAACCUGGAUUUGAUCUUGGAGAUAAGGUCAUAUGAUGAUUAGCAAAUAUAGGCCAAAGAACAAGGAACAGUUGGCUGAGUUCUCUUCAGCCUUCUGUUUAGCAAAUCAGUCUUCCUCCAAAUUUAAAAAAAAAAUUGAAAGGCAGAACCUUUUUGGCUAUGUGUUCAAGAAGCAUUCACAUACUUAAACUGACAUCAUGAAACACAUAAACAUCAGAAGAAUGUGACACCAAAGGAAGUGACUAAUAAAUUAAUGAUUUUAUGAUGUAGCAAAUGUAAUUAUUAAAAGAUGUUAAAAGGAAAAAUAAAAACCAAGAAAAAAUAAGACAUUAAAAGGUAAAACAAGAAAUACACCACAUUUAAUUUCUUCUUCUGUAUAAGUGAAUAGAGUACACAUAGUAAUCAAUAAGAGUACCAUCAAACUUGAAAUUGGAAGAUCUUGAUUAAAGUUCUUGUUCUACUUCAAUUAAAGUUCUUAGUCUACUUCUAAGGAGCUUAGCAAUUGUAGCAGGUUUGGUUAAUUGUCCCUCUAUGUGGUAGAUUAACUAAUGGUUAACUUGGAAAGCCCAGAUGAACUGAAUCAGUGUGGUCUGGGUGUGGAAGACCCACCUGAGGAUUGUUGCCAAAGGCAUAAAAAGAGAACUGUAGGGGAAGAUUGUUUUGUUGUUGAUUUUCUUGGAGAAACUUGCUGUGAGUGAUGCAAAAUUGGCUGUUCUUUCAUAAUUGGAGGAGCUUGGGUCCUUGCUCUCACUGGGAAUGGCUGCUGUUCUAGUCAGGGGAGCUCUGAUCUUUUCUGUGAGCAUCACUUCCUGGCUCCAGUGUAGAUCCCUCAGCCUAGUGGCAUAAAUCCUUCACCCCACUGGCACAGGCUUUCUAGCAUCCACCACUGGUCUUUGGGCCUUCCUGGUGCAACUCCUUGGUAAGGACAAGCAUGAGAUACUGCUGUGGAUUCUAGGCCACUGGCUGGACUAAUGAAGGACAUUGUUUUGGACUCUAGGCCUUCAGCUGGACUUGUACUGUGAGACCAAAGUGACUCCAUUUUGCUUAUGUGAAACCAGAAUGACUCCACUUUUGCCCAAAAUCGAGUAGUCUCCUUUGUCCUCUCACAUUAAUGAUUAAAAUGUGCUUGAUCUAGGACAAAAGAUACAAUCUGUAACAAACCAAAGUUCCUAAGUUAAUUACUCAGCCAUCUGUUUACCCAGGAAAUGAACAUCCUGGGCCCACUAUCUGUAGGAACCAUCUGUCAAUGUGCUGACUGUCAGUGCUGAGUGGUCGUGACCAUUAGUCACUGUGUCUGCUGACCAUCAACACGUGACAGUUGCCCACUAACCUUUGUCCUUCUUUUCUUUUGUAAAACCUAUACGUAAUCACCCCUUACCCCUGAUGAGUUCACCCAAUCAGAAAUGUACACUUCAUGCAUGUUAAGCGCUGACCAAUCAUUGUAACUGCUAAGUAGAGAAUCUCCAAACCUUGCUGUAACCUCUAUAAAAACCCCGCUAAUUUGGAACUCGGGGCUCUCAAUCUCGAUCCGCUGUGUCGGUGACAAUUGAGAGUCCCUACUUAAGCUUGAAUAAAUGACCCUCGUGCACUUACAUCGGAAACGGCCUCCUGGUGGUCUUUGGGACCUCACAAUCUGGGCACAACAGUACAUGACAUUGCUGUGGGAGCUAGGCCCUUGGCUGAAUUCUUUGAUUCUCUAGUGCAUGGAUAGAUCUCUUGCAUUCCUCUGCAUUUGACUUUUUUUGAAUAUUAUAAAAUAAUCCUAUAACUUAUGUGUCCUGUAUUAAACCUAUUCCCUUGCAAACCCUGAGUACAACACCAUAAUAUUUUUUUCUUCCUUUUAGUGAUGGCACCUAAGUUGUAGCCUCUCAGAUCACAUUUCCUAGCUUCCAUUAGGUUAGAUAUAGCCAUGUCACAAAGUUUUGACUAAUGGAUUGCACACAGUUUUGACUAAUGGGUUGACUAAUGCGUUGCAAAAUGAUGUGGGUGGCUGUGUACAUUGUCCUUAACUAUAUGAUGUGGCUUGUCUCCUUUUUCUUUCCUCUGGCCUAGAUGGCAGACAUAAUAUUGGUGAACCUGUUUUCACCAAUUGAUAAUGGCCAACCGAAUGAAACAAGAAUAUAGGAGCCUCAGUCCUCAGACAAUAUCAUAAUGUCUUUAGUCUGUACCAUGAUAGAGAAAUUUAAAAGAAACUUUUUUAGAAACUACAUUUUUGAGGUCUCCUUAGGCAAGUUCAAAUUUUCUCUCUGAAGGUUUAGUAUUUGAGUCUGAUGAAAUCCACAAUGGGCAGAUUAACAAGAGAAAAAGCCUGCUAGUAUUUUUUUCCCAUUAAGUUUAUUGGUACAUUUUAGGUAUAAAAUACAGUUACAUUCAUCAUUGGGAUCUUGUACUGUUACAGAAAUCUCAGAAAGAAAUACACAGAGACACAGAAUUCGGAUAAAAUAAUAAAAUUUCUUCUCGCGAGCGGACCGGAAUGCCAGAAACCAGUCUGGUCAAUAUCCGUGCCCCCUUUGUGCAGCAUUUCCCUUUUUAUAUACUUUUUAGCCAUUAUCUCAUCCCUAGUGGUCUUUAAUAUGUAAAUACAAUUCCAGUUCUUAUUUACAAGUCACAGACACAAGAUAGGCCAUAUACAUUGUAAAUUCAUCCUGGCCUGGUAACUUUGUUAGGUUAAUGAAGUUACUGGUUAGAGUCAGAUAAUCUUCACUUUAAACUAGGAGUUACAGGAAAAGCAAAUCUUAAAAGAACACAUUACUUAUUUUGCUUCUACAACUACCUUAAUAUUCAAUCUAUUAAGUUAUCUAAAACUUUUCUGUAUCAGUACCAUUACAUGAGUAUCUUGGUUCUUUUUUUUUUUUUUUUCCUUCCCCUGCUUUCCCUUCUCCCCCUCCACCCUUCCCUAUUUGCAAAGACUUUGUUUCCGUUUUUUUCCUUUUCUCAUAUUUUUUCUUUUCCCUUUUUCCCUUUCCCCUACCCUUCCCACUUCCCCUGCUCCUUUAGACUUUUUCUUCCUAUUACACAAUAUCAAUUAUACAUUUUUAAAAUUACAAUAUCAAGAUCUAGGAGACAUUACCACAGAUUUUACAGAAUUUAAAAGGAUAUAGAAAGCAUAUUACAAAAAUCUUUUUUUGAAAUAAAUUUGAUAACUUCUGAGAAGUACCUUGGAAGACAAAUUAAUGAAAUUAACUCUGGAGGAAAUAAAAGCCUGCUAGUAUUUACAUGCACAGAAACACCACAGGAAUGCUAAAACUGAAUGUGGUGGUUAAUAAAUUGUCAACUUGAGUAGGAGUGUCCCGCUGAAUUGAGUCGGUGUGGUUCUGGACAAGAAAGAUCCAUUUAAAGAGGG